Long non-coding RNA from Alligator mississippiensis (American alligator), 676 nucleotides. RefSeq lists it as uncharacterized. NCBI's taxonomy places the organism in Eukaryota, Metazoa, Chordata, Crocodylia, Alligatoridae. The record is from RefSeq and is a predicted model, not a curated record. The transcript has 3 exons.
CAUGUAGUGGGGGCACAGGGGGACAGACACCGCUUGGCCCGCCCUCACCUCUGAUGUCCCUGCGGCUGCCUGCAGGUGGUCCCCACUCACCACCACCGCCUGUGGGUGGUUGCCAUGCCCCACCAGCCUCAAGAGGAAUGAGGAUUCCACUCCUGUGUAUGAAGUAGUAAAUCACCUUGUCUCAGCCUGCAGCAUUACCAGUCUGCUGAUCUGAUACUAGGAAGCUGGGUAAAGCAAUUGAAUUGGCUUUUCAGCCCCAAAUGCUAUCUGAAGUCACAGGCAUAGCCAGGCAGCUCUAUGCUCAGCACAGCCACACAAUGCCAGCAGUGUGAAUUGCAGUAAUGCUAUCAGCUACCACUGUGGUCACAGCUGUUCCUGCACCCCUGCAUGAAGCUGCUGCCUCUGAUACCCUGACCCCUCCCUCCCACUCCCAUUACACUACUCUCUGAGGUUUCAUUCAGGUGCAGUUCAAAUAAUUGUAACACAGAUGAUGACGGUAUUAUGUGAUGUGAAACAUUAUGAUGUUAUCAUGUCAUGUAGCAUGUACUCUUUGCUUACAUCUUGGGAAGUAUUUCCUCUGCAUUCAGAAAGAGACCAAAUCUGAAUUUGAAAAUAAAAUUGACUUCAGUACCUUCUUUUGACAAAGCUAAAAAUAAACACUAGCUAUUGAUUAGUG